UACGGAGGGGGCUAGCGUUGUUCGGAAUCACUGGGCGUAAAGCGCACGUAGGCGGAUCUUUAAGUCAGGGGUGAAAUCCCGAGGCUCAACCUCGGAACUGCCCUUGAUACUGGGGAUCUCGAGUCCGGAAGAGGUUGGUGGAACUCCGAGUGUAGAGGUGAAAUUCGUAGAUAUUCGGAAGAACACCAGUGGCGAAGGCGGCCAACUGGUCCGGCACUGACGCUGAGGUGCGAAAGCGUGGGGAGCAAACAGG
RNAcentral lists this ribosomal RNA (253 nucleotides) under uncultured bacterium. RNAcentral's name for it is "partial 16S ribosomal RNA". It matches the Rfam family "Bacterial small subunit ribosomal RNA", at positions 524 to 776 of the family's 1533-position model. The record is from RNAcentral.